GAUGAAGAACGUAGCGAAAUGCGAUAAGUAAUGUGAAUUGCAGAAUUCAGUGAAUCAUCGAAUCUUUGAACGCACCUUGCGCCCUUUGGCCAUUCCGAAGGGCAUGCCUGUUUGAGCAUCAUGAACACCUCAACUCUUCAUGGUUUUCCGUGAUGAGCUUGGACUUUGGGGGUCUUGCUGGCCUAUGGUCAGCUCCUCUAAAAUAAAUCAGCUUGCCAGUGUUUGGUGGGUAUCACAGGUGUGAUAACUAUCUACGCUUGUGGUUUUCCACCAGGUAACCUUCAGCAGUGGAGGUUCGCUGGAGCUCACAGAUGUGUCUCUCCUCAGUGAGGACAGCUCUUUGAAUGUUUGAUCUCAAAUCAGGUAGGACUACCCGCUGAACUUAAGCGUAUCAAUAAGCGGAGGA
Molecule: unclassified non-coding RNA, 406 nt
Filed under: soil metagenome
Description: partial contains 5.8S ribosomal RNA, internal transcribed spacer 2, and large subunit ribosomal RNA
Rfam family: 5.8S ribosomal RNA (bases 1-121)
Source: RNAcentral